Molecule: microRNA precursor, 102 nt
Filed under: Marmota monax (woodchuck)
Lineage: Eukaryota; Metazoa; Chordata; Mammalia; Rodentia; Sciuridae
Source: RNAcentral
AGUAGAAUUGUUAGAUCAAAUGGUAACCUUUAUGUUUAACUUUUUGGAGGACUGCCAGUCUAUUUUCCAAACAGCUGUACCAUUUUCAUUUCUACCAGCAAU